GAGGCGGAGGGAAGGGGGAAGAGGGGCAUGGUGAAGAAAAGAAUGCUGGUGGAGGGAGAGCGAGGGGAGCUACGUGUUUCGUACGUGUAUACGUAUGUCCCUCCGUCUCGUAUGAUUGUCAAUGAUGAUAGUCACUCGCGAAAUUCUCCUUUCUCGUUUUCCGUCCGAUUGGCGGUAAAGCGAAUAAAAGAGAAUACGUAAUAUGUACAUAGUAUGUAGGAAGGCAAACCUUUGGAUUAGAGUCUCAGCCGCGGAAACACUCUCUACUGCCAUUUUCGCUUUCGGUUCCGCAGAUCGAUCACGAUCUGCGACGUGCGUGUCUCGCUCUCGGUACCCCGGAGUGAACAAAAUUUUUUAAACGAUGACCUUCAUCACAAAGUACAAGACCUACUUCAUCUUGAUGCAGUACAUGUGCGUGUAGGCGAAAUGUUUCAUAACUUAUAAUGAGAAUAGGAGUUACACAUCUACCGCCAUAAUUCUGGUGGCGAAUAGACAAUUAAAGCAUUAGGAUCAUUAGGAUCGUGCAAUGGUCUACGUGGUCCUGGCAGACGUAAUCCAAGAACUCGCCCAGAUAAUUGAUAACCAGGCACUGGUAUUUUAAAUGGUUUGCUAAGAAGUUUCCUC
Molecule: long non-coding RNA, 624 nt
Organism: Camponotus floridanus (Florida carpenter ant)
Lineage: Eukaryota; Metazoa; Arthropoda; Insecta; Hymenoptera; Formicidae
Exons: 3
Source: RefSeq, a predicted model, not a curated record